Molecule: ribosomal RNA, 730 nt
Filed under: Shigella sonnei
Lineage: Bacteria; Pseudomonadati; Pseudomonadota; Gammaproteobacteria; Enterobacterales; Enterobacteriaceae
Description: partial 23S ribosomal RNA
Rfam family: Bacterial large subunit ribosomal RNA
Source: RNAcentral
UUUGAUGUUCUAACGUGGACCCGUGAUCCGGGUUGCGGACAGUGUCUGGUGGGUAGUUUGACUGGGGCGGUCUCCUCCUAAAGAGUAACGGAGGAGCACGAAGGUUGGCUAAUCCUGGUCGGACAUCAGGAGGUUAGUGCAAUGGCAUAAGCCAGCUUGACUGCGAGCGUGACGGCGCGAGCAGGUGCGAAAGCAGGUCAUAGUGAUCCGGUGGUUCUGAAUGGAAGGGCCAUCGCUCAACGGAUAAAAGGUACUCCGGGGAUAACAGGCUGAUACCGCCCAAGAGUUCAUAUCGACGGCGGUGUUUGGCACCUCGAUGUCGGCUCAUCACAUCCUGGGGCUGAAGUAGGUCCCAAGGGUAUGGCUGUUCGCCAUUUAAAGUGGUACGCGAGCUGGGUUUAGAACGUCGUGAGACAGUUCGGUCCCUAUCUGCCGUGGGCGCUGGAGAACUGAGGGGGGCUGCUCCUAGUACGAGAGGACCGGAGUGGACGCAUCACUGGUGUUCGGGUUGUCAUGCCAAUGGCACUGCCCGGUAGCUAAAUGCGGAAGAGAUAAGUGCUGAAAGCAUCUAAGCACGAAACUUGCCCCGAGAUGAGUUCUCCCUGACCCUUUAAGGGUCCUGAAGGAACGUUGAAGACGACGACGUUGAUAGGCCGGGUGUGUAAGCGCAGCGAUGCGUUGAGCUAACCGGUACUAAUGAACCGUGAGGCUUAACCUUACAACGCCGAAG